This is a non-coding RNA of Cinara cedri, 258 nucleotides long. The record is from the annotation of a GenBank genome assembly. Lineage: Eukaryota; Metazoa; Arthropoda; Insecta; Hemiptera; Aphididae.
CCGCGACGUGUACAAAUUAGCUAUCAUUUUCUACUCGGGGGGUUUUUUUUUUUCCCCCCGUUGUUGUUCGUUCUUUUUUUUCUCUCCGCCGUCUCUAUCCGUCUCUGUCUCCGCGCGGCGCAUCUCUCACCGGCUCGUUCUGUCGCCCUGACGGCGUAAUUAAACGACUCUGUUGAGAGUGUGUCCUAAUUACGCGACGAGCUGCAGCGGACUUCGCCGUCGUCGCGUCAACAGACGAGACCGUGCCGCGCCCGCCUC